Molecule: ribosomal RNA, 848 nt
Filed under: Vannella bursella
Lineage: Eukaryota; Discosea; Flabellinia; Vannellidae
Description: bacterial SSU rRNA
Rfam family: Eukaryotic small subunit ribosomal RNA
Source: RNAcentral
GAUUAGAUACCGUCGUAGUCUUAACUAUAAACUAUGCCGACCAGGGAUAUGAGUUGUUAUGAAUAACUUUUAGUUAUUCAAUUUCCUCUUGUGGACCUUGUGAGAAAUCAUAAGUUUUUGGGUUCUGGGGGGAGUAUGGUCGCAAGGCUGAAACUUAAAGGAAUUGACGGAGGGGCACCACCAGGAGUGGAGCGUGCGGCUUAAUUUGACUCAACACGGGAAAACUUACCAGGUCCAGACAUUAGAAGGAUUGACAGAUUGAUAGCUCUUUCAUGAUUUAAUGGGUGGUGGUGCAUGGCCGUUCUUAGUUGGUGGAGUGAUUUGUCUGGUUAAUUCCGAUAACGAACGAGACCUUUACCAUACUAAAUAGUUUGAUUUAUUCAUUUAUGAAUAGAUUUAUUUUUAUUAAACUUCUUAGAGGGACUAUUGGUUCUUAAACCAAAGGAAGUAAAGGCGAUAACAGGUCUGUGAUGCCCUUAGAUGUUCUGGGCUGCACGCGCGCUACAAUGAUAAACUCAACGAGUAUUUAAUAUUUAUUUAUUAUAUUGCUGUAUCGGAAGGUAUGGCUAAUCUUAAACGUUUAUCGUGCUUGGGAUAGAUGAUUGCAAUUAUUUAUCUUGAACCAGGAAUUCCUAGUAAUCGUAUAUCAUCAGUGUGCGAUGAUUACGUCCCUGCCCCUUGUACACACCGCCCGUCGCUGCUACCGAUUGGAUGAUCCGGUGAAAUCCUCGGAUAAUGAUAAAUACUUUACUUUGUAAAGUUUAUCGUUAGAAGUUGAUUAAACCUUAUCAUCUAGAGGAAGCAAAAGUCGUAACAAGGUUUCCGUAGGUGAACCUGCAGAAGGAUCA